UACGGAGGGUGCAAGCGUUGUUCGGAAUUACUGGGCGUAAAGGGCGCGUAGGCGGCAAUGUAAGUCAGACGUGAAAUCCUUCGGCUUAACUGAAGAACUGCGUCUGAAACUGCAUGGCUAGAGUGCAGAAGAGGGAAGCGGAAUUCCUGGUGUAGAGGUGAAAUUCGUAGAUAUCAGGAGGAACACCGGUGGCGAAGGCGGUUUCCUGGUCUGACACUGACGCUGAGGCGCGAAAGCGUGGGGAG
RNAcentral lists this ribosomal RNA (245 nucleotides) under uncultured bacterium. RNAcentral's name for it is "partial 16S ribosomal RNA". It matches the Rfam family "Bacterial small subunit ribosomal RNA", at positions 524 to 768 of the family's 1533-position model. The record is from RNAcentral.